UACGAAGGGGGCUAGCGUUGCUCGGAAUGACUGGGCGUAAAGGGCGCGUAGGCGGCCUUCUAAGUCGAACGUGAAAUCCCUGGGCUCAACCCAGGAACUGCGUCCGAUACUGGAAGGCUUGAAUCCGGGAGAGGGAUGCGGAAUUCCAGGUGUAGCGGUGAAAUGCGUAGAUAUCUGGAGGAACACCGGUGGCGAAGGCGGCAUCCUGGACCGGUAUUGACGCUGAGGCGCGAAAGCCAGGGGAGCAAACGGG
This 253-nucleotide ribosomal RNA is filed under the name uncultured bacterium. Its description in RNAcentral is "partial 16S ribosomal RNA". It matches the Rfam family "Bacterial small subunit ribosomal RNA", at positions 524 to 776 of the family's 1533-position model. The record is from RNAcentral.